UCAAAGAUAAUCAUGGAGGAACAGCUUAUGAUUGUGCUGGAGGGAGGUUGAAAAAACAAAACUGGGAAAUAAUAAGACGAAAAUUAAAAGAAUACGAAAUUUGAAGAACAUAACUAUUUUGGAAACAAGGCUACUUUCAGAAGGCUCCUCUAUAUGAAGAGUGUGACCGUAACAUCGCGCUCACAAUUGGCAAUGGCAAACCAACUUUAAAGAUUAAUUCAGUAUUCUCACCACAAGAGCAUCUAAUCACAAAAAUAAAUCAGCAAAAAUUUGUUUUAAAUUUUUCUUUCAAUGGCAUAAUUGACUGGCAUAACUGUAAGGUUUGCCUUUAAUAUUUUCUGAGCCUGAGCUUAUGGGCGUUUCUGAAAAUGGGUAAAUUCUGGAAUAUAAGAAAGUAUGAUGAUAACAAAACAUUUAUUUGGUUAAAUUUCAUCGAACCAGCCCAAAACCAUAUCAGACCAAAUGUCAAGUCAAUAGGUUAAUAUUGGAGUAUGGAACUUUUAAGUAAAAGGACACUAUAAUACCCGGUUUAGCCUUAUUUUGUGGAUUUCUUAUGUUCACUGCUUUGUAAUUAGUAUUAAAAGUCAUGAGAUAAUAUAUGUUUGAUAUCUA
Molecule: long non-coding RNA, 612 nt
Organism: Hydractinia symbiolongicarpus
Lineage: Eukaryota; Metazoa; Cnidaria; Hydrozoa; Anthoathecata; Hydractiniidae
Exons: 2
Source: RefSeq, a predicted model, not a curated record